This is an unclassified non-coding RNA of Vespa mandarinia (Asian giant hornet), 1022 nucleotides long. Lineage: Eukaryota; Metazoa; Arthropoda; Insecta; Hymenoptera; Vespidae. The record is from RefSeq and is a predicted model, not a curated record.
UAAACCAAAUCGCCGCUCUUUUGUUUCCGGUUUCUGAAAUUUCCUAAGAGAAUUGAAUUGUAUGCUUUCUUUUGAUUAUUUCAGUUGUCUUUUACAUAAGUUCAUGAAUUAAUUUAAGAUUUUAUUUUAUUACGUGUUUAUUAAAAAAGAGAGUGUAAAGUGAUAAUAUAAUAUUGUGAUUACUUGAAAACCGACAAAAUGACUAUCGGCAAAAAUAAUAAAAUGCUUCAGCACAUUAAUUAUAGGGUCAGAAUCAUUCUUCAGGAUUCGAGAACCUUUAUAGGGACAUUUAAGGCAUUCGAUAAGCAUAUGAAUCUUAUACUUGGAGAUUGCGAAGAAUUUCGCAAAAUUAAGCCAAAGAAUACAAAACAACCAGAAACAGAACAAAAGCGUGUUUUAGGCUUUGUACUUUUAAGAGGAGAAAAUAUUGUUUCUUUAACUGUAGAAGGUCCUCCACCUCCGGAGGAAGGAUUGCCUAGAGUACCUAUUCCAGGUGCUGCACCAGGUCCUGGUAUUGGACGACCUGCUGGUCGUGGCAUGCCUGCAAGUAUUGCAGGAGUACCGGCAGGCUUACAAGGACCUGUUAGGGGCAUUGGUGGUCCAUCACAACAAAUAAUGACACCUGGUGGUAGAGGUCAAGUAUCAGCACCACCACAAAUGCAUCCAGGUGGUCCUCCACGUAUGCCUGUAAGUGGACCACCGCCUGGUAUGAUGGGACCACCACCAGGAAUGAUGGGAAUGCCACCUGGAAUGCCACCCAUGGGGAGAGGCGGCCCACCAAUGGGACCACCAGGAAUGCGUGGUCCACCACCCGCAUAUUGAUGUUAUGAUAAUUGAGGAUGGACAUUCCAGAGUGCUACAAUGUUUCAGGAAGCACUGCUGCUAUAAUUUUAUGCAUGGCAUAUGGCAGGUUCUUACAACCAAAAUUUUAUAUAAGAUGUACUAUUAAGAUCACACACACAAGAAUGGUACUUCAUCUGAUACAAUUAUGUGAAUAUGAAAUAUAUGAUUACUUUUAAAAA